GGGUUAGUAGGUUGGUCAUGCCUCUGGUAUGUACUGGUCUCACUGAUUCCUCCUUCCUGAUGAACCGUAAUGCCAUUAAUUUGGUGUUGCGGGGAAUUUGGACUGUUACUUUGAAAAAAUUAGAGUGUUUAAAGCAAGCUAACGCUUGAAUACAUUAGCAUGGAAUAAUGAAAUAGGACGUUCGAUCCUAUUUUGUUGGUUUCUAGGAUUGACGUAAUGAUUAAUAGGGAUAGUUGG
RNAcentral lists this ribosomal RNA (237 nucleotides) under uncultured Rhizophagus. RNAcentral describes it as "partial 18S ribosomal RNA". The stretch from base 40 to 237 matches the Rfam family "Eukaryotic small subunit ribosomal RNA", at positions 686 to 885 of the family's 1831-position model. The record is from RNAcentral. Lineage: Eukaryota; Fungi; Glomeromycota; Glomeromycetes; Glomerales; Glomeraceae.